GGAGAGGUGGCAGAGCGGCUUAAUGCGGCGGUCUCGAAAACCGUUGUGCGUCGCAAGGCGCACCGGGGGUUCGAAUCCCCCCCUCUCCG
RNAcentral lists this transfer RNA (89 nucleotides) under Gaiellales bacterium. Its description in RNAcentral is "tRNA-Ser". It matches the Rfam family "tRNA". Rfam says of the family: Transfer RNA (tRNA) molecules are approximately 80 nucleotides in length. Their secondary structure includes four short double-helical elements and three loops (D, anti-codon, and T loops). Lineage: Bacteria; Bacillati; Actinomycetota; Thermoleophilia; Gaiellales. The record is from RNAcentral.